UGAAUACGUUCCCGGGCCUUGUACACACCGCCCGUCACACCAUGGGAGUCGGUAACACCCGAAGCCUGUAGUCUAACCGCAAGGGGGACGCAGUCGAAGGUGGGAUUGAUGACUGGGGUGAAGUCGUAACAAGGUACC
Molecule: ribosomal RNA, 138 nt
Filed under: uncultured bacterium
Lineage: Bacteria
Description: partial 16S ribosomal RNA
Rfam family: Bacterial small subunit ribosomal RNA
Source: RNAcentral